GGGUUGUGAGGUUAAGCGACUAAGCGUACACGGUGGAUGCCCUGGCAGUCAGAGGCGAUGAAGGACGUGCUAAUCUGCGAAAAGCGUCGGUAAGGUGAUAUGAACCGUUAUAGCCGGCGAUGUCCGAAUGGGGAAACCCAGUGCAAUUCGUUGCACUAUCGUUAACUGAAUACAUAGGUUAACGAGGCGAACCGGGGGAACUGAAACAUCUAAGUACCCCGAGGAAAAGAAAUCAACCGAGAUUCCCCCAGUAGCGGCGAGCGAACGGGGAGCAGCCCAGAGUCUGAAUCAGCUUGUGUGUUAGUGGAACGGUCUGGAAAGUCCGACGGUACAGGGUGAUAGUCCCGUACACCAAAAUGCACAGGCUGUGAACUCGAAGAGUAGGGCGGGACACGUGGUAUCCUGUCUGAAUAUGGGGGGACCAUCCUCCAAGGCUAAAUACUCCUGACUGACCGAUAGUGAACCAGUACCGUGAGGGAAAGGCGAAAAGAACCCCGGCGAGGGGAGUGAAAAAGAACCUGAAACCGUGUACGUACAAGCAGUGGGAGCACCUUCGGGUGUGACUGCGUACCUUUUGUAUAAUGGGUCAGCGACUUAUAUUCUGUAGCAAGGUUAACCGUAUAGGGGAGCCGCAGGGAAACCGAGUCUUAACUGGGCGUUAAGUUGCAGGGUAUAGACCCGAAACCCGGUGAUCUAGCCAUGGGCAGGUUGAAGGUUGGGUAACACUAACUGGAGGACCGAACCGACUAAUGUUGAAAAAUUAGCGGAUGACUUGUGGCUGGGGGUGAAAGGCCAAUCAAACCGGGAGAUAGCUGGUUCUCCCCGAAAGCUAUUUAGGUAGCGCCUCGUGAAUUCAUCUUCGGGGGUAGAGCACUGUUUCGGCUAGGGGGUCAUCCCGACUUACCAACCCGAUGCAAACUACGAAUACCGAAGAAUGUUAUCACGGGAGACACACGGCGGGUGCUAACGUCCGUCGUGAAGAGGGAAACAACCCAGACCGCCAGCUAAGGUCCCAAAGUCAUGGUUAAGUGGGAAACGAUGUGGGAAGGCACAGACAGCCAGGAUGUUGGCUUAGAAGCAGCCAUCAUUUAAAGAAAGCGUAAUAGCUCACUGGUCGAGUCGGCCUGCGCGGAAGAUGUAACGGGGCUAAACCAUGCACCGAAGCUGCGGCAGCGACACUAUGUGUUGUUGGGUAGGGGAGCGUUCUGUAAGCCUGCGAAGGUGACCUGUGAGGGUUGCUGGAGGUAUCAGAAGUGCGAAUGCUGACAUAAGUAACGAUAAAGCGGGUGAAAAGCCCGCUCGCCGGAAGACCAAGGGUUCCUGUCCAACGUUAAUCGGGGCAGGGUGAGUCGACCCCUAAGGCGAGGCCGAAAGGCGUAGUCGAUGGGAAACAGGUUAAUAUUCCUGUACUUGGUGUUACUGCGAAGGGGGGACGGAGAAGGCUAUGUUAGCCGGGCGACGGUUGUCCCGGUUUAAGCAUGUAGGCUGGUUGUCCAGGCAAAUCCGGAUAAUCAAGGCUGAGGUGUGAUGACGAGGCACUACGGUGCUGAAGUAACAAAUGCCCUGCUUCCAGGAAAAGCCUCUAAGCAUCAGGUAACAUCAAAUCGUACCCCAAACCGACACAGGUGGUCAGGUAGAGAAUACCAAGGCGCUUGAGAGAACUCGGGUGAAGGAACUAGGCAAAAUGGUGCCGUAACUUCGGGAGAAGGCACGCUGGUGUGUAGGUGAAGCCCCUGCGGGUGGAGCUGAGACCAGUCGAAGAUACCAGCUGGCUGCAACUGUUUAUUAAAAACACAGCACUGUGCAAACACGAAAGUGGACGUAUACGGUGUGACGCCUGCCCGGUGCCGGAAGGUUAAUUGAUGGGGUUAUCCGUAAGGAGAAGCUCUUGAUCGAAGCCCCGGUAAACGGCGGCCGUAACUAUAACGGUCCUAAGGUAGCGAAAUUCCUUGUCGGGUAAGUUCCGACCUGCACGAAUGGCGUAAUGAUGGCCAGGCUGUCUCCACCCGAGACUCAGUGAAAUUGAACUCGCUGUGAAGAUGCAGUGUACCCGCGGCAAGACGGAAAGACCCCGUGAACCUUUACUAUAGCUUGACACUGAACAUUGAGCCUUGAUGUGUAGGAUAGGUGGGAGGCUUUGAAGCGUGGACGCCAGUCUGCGUGGAGCCAACCUUGAAAUACCACCCUUUAAUGUUUGAUGUUCUAACGUUGGCCCCUUACCGGGGUUGCGGACAGUGUCUGGUGGGUAGUUUGACUGGGGCGGUCUCCUCCCAAAGCGUAACGGAGGAGCACGAAGGUUAGCUAAUCCUGGUCGGACAUCAGGAGGUUAGUGCAAUGGCAUAAGCUAGCUUGACUGCGAGCGUGACGGCGCGAGCAGGUGCGAAAGCAGGUCAUAGUGAUCCGGUGGUUCUGAAUGGAAGGGCCAUCGCUCAACGGAUAAAAGGUACUCCGGGGAUAACAGGCUGAUACCGCCCAAGAGUUCAUAUCGACGGCGGUGUUUGGCACCUCGAUGUCGGCUCAUCACAUCCUGGGGCUGAAGUAGGUCCCAAGGGUAUGGCUGUUCGCCAUUUAAAGUGGUACGCGAGCUGGGUUUAGAACGUCGUGAGACAGUUCGGUCCCUAUCUGCCGUGGGCGCUGGAGAAUUGAGGGGGGCUGCUCCUAGUACGAGAGGACCGGAGUGGACGCAUCACUGGUGUUCGGGUUGUCAUGCCAAUGGCACUGCCCGGUAGCUAAAUGCGGAAGAGAUAAGUGCUGAAAGCAUCUAAGCACGAAACUUGCCCCGAGAUGAGUUCUCCCUGAGACUUUAAGUCUCCUGAAGGAACGUUAAAGACGAUGACGUUGAUAGGCCGGGUGUGUAAGCGCAGCGAUGCGUUGAGCUAACCGGUACUAAUGAACCGUGAGGCUUAACCUUACAACGCCGAAG
RNAcentral lists this ribosomal RNA (2923 nucleotides) under Klebsiella pneumoniae. Its description in RNAcentral is "23S ribosomal RNA". It matches the Rfam family "Bacterial large subunit ribosomal RNA". The record is from RNAcentral. Lineage: Bacteria; Pseudomonadati; Pseudomonadota; Gammaproteobacteria; Enterobacterales; Enterobacteriaceae.